RNAcentral lists this ribosomal RNA (471 nucleotides) under uncultured soil bacterium. Its description in RNAcentral is "bacterial SSU rRNA". It matches the Rfam family "Bacterial small subunit ribosomal RNA", at positions 26 to 518 of the family's 1533-position model. The record is from RNAcentral.
AGGAUGAACGCUGGCGGCGUGCUUAACACAUGCAAGUCGAACGAUGAACCUCGCUUGCGGGGGGAUUAGUGGCGAACGGGUGAGUAACACGUGAGUAACCUGCCCUUAACUCUGGGAUAAGCCUUGGAAACGAGGUCUAAUACUGGAUAUUGACUUUUCCUCGCAUGGGGAUUGGUUGAAAGAUUUAUUGGUUUUGGAUGGACUCGCGGCCUAUCAGCUUGUUGGUGAGGUAAUGGCUCACCAAGGCGACGACGGGUAGCCGGCCUGAGAGGGUGACCGGCCACACUGGGACUGAGACACGGCCCAGACUCCUACGGGAGGCAGCAGUGGGGAAUAUUGGACAAUGGGCGAAAGCCUGAUCCAGCAAUGCCGCGUGAGUGAUGAAGGCCUUAGGGUUGUAAAGCUCUUUACCCGGAAGAUAAUGACUGUACCGGAGAAGUAAGCUCCGGCUAACUCCGUGCCAGCAGCCGC